AGGGUUUAUGAGAGGAUUAUCCCCCACACUGGUACUGAGACACGGACCAGAUUCCUACGGGAGGCAGCAGUGAGGAAUAUUGGACAAUGGGCGAGAGCCUGAACCAGCCAUCCCGCGUGCAGGAUGACGGCCUUAUGGGUUGUAAACUGCUUUUCUACGCCAAGAAACCUGGUUACGAGUAACCAGUUGCCGGUAGCGUAGGAAUAAGCAUCGGCUAACUCCGUGCCAGCAGCCGCGGUAAUACGGAGGAUGCAAGCGUUAUCCGGAUUCAUUGGGUUUAAAGGGUGCGCAGGUGGGCUUUUAAGUCAGUGGUGAAAUGCUGCCGCUUAACGGUAGAAUUGCCAUUGAUACUGAGAGUCUUGAGUAUGGUUGAGGUAGGCGGAAUGUGUUGUGUAGCGGUGAAAUGCAUAGAUAUGACACAGAACGCCGAUUGCGAAGGCAGCUUACUAAGCCAUUACUGACGCUGAGGCACGAAAGCGUGGGGAGCGAACAGGAUUAGAUACCCUGGUAGUCCACGCUGU
This 521-nucleotide ribosomal RNA is filed under the name uncultured bacterium. RNAcentral describes it as "bacterial SSU rRNA". It matches the Rfam family "Bacterial small subunit ribosomal RNA", at positions 284 to 803 of the family's 1533-position model. The record is from RNAcentral.